RNAcentral lists this ribosomal RNA (253 nucleotides) under uncultured bacterium. RNAcentral describes it as "partial 16S ribosomal RNA". It matches the Rfam family "Bacterial small subunit ribosomal RNA", at positions 524 to 776 of the family's 1533-position model. The record is from RNAcentral.
GACGAGCCGUGCGAACGUUGUUCGGAAUCACUGGGCUUAAAGGGCGCGUAGGCGGGCUCGAAAGUCAGGGGUGAAAUCCCGCGGCCCAACCGCGGAAGUGCCUUUGAUACUGCGAGCCUCGAGGGGGGUAGGGGCGUGCGGAACUUCCGGUGGGGCGGUGAAAUGCGUAGAUAUCGGAAGGAACACCGGUGGCGAAAGCGGCGCGCUGGACCCCUUCUGACGCUGAGGCGUGAAAGCCAGGGGAGCAAACGGG